AACGAACGCUGGCGGCAUGCCUAACACAUGCAAGUCGAACGAGACCUUCGGGUCUAGUGGCGCACGGGUGCGUAACACGUGGGAAUCUGCCCUUUGCUUCGGAAUAACAGUUAGAAAUGACUGCUAAUACCGGAUGAUGUCGAAAGACCAAAGAUUUAUCGGCAAAGGAUGAGCCCGCGUAGGAUUAGGUAGUUGGUGGGGUAAAGGCCUACCAAGCCGACGAUCCUUAGCUGGUCUGAGAGGAUGAUCAGCCACACUGGGACUGAGACACGGCCCAGACUCCUACGGGAGGCAGCAGUGGGGAAUAUUGGACAAUGGGCGAAAGCCUGAUCCAGAAAUGCCGCGUGAGUGAUGAAGGCCUUAGGGUUGUAAAGCUCUUUUACCAGGGAUGAUAAUGACAGUACCUGGAGAAUAAGCACCGGCUAACUCCGUG
Molecule: ribosomal RNA, 433 nt
Filed under: uncultured bacterium
Lineage: Bacteria
Description: partial 16S ribosomal RNA
Rfam family: Bacterial small subunit ribosomal RNA
Source: RNAcentral